Molecule: long non-coding RNA, 358 nt
Organism: Monopterus albus (swamp eel)
Lineage: Eukaryota; Metazoa; Chordata; Actinopteri; Synbranchiformes; Synbranchidae
Exons: 3
Source: RefSeq, a predicted model, not a curated record
CUAAUUUGCUUUCACUUCCGUUUUCUUCAUUAGACACGUAUGGGCACGGAAAAGGUAAAGAAGAACUUCUUGGUAACACCAGUAACUGAACCUUGCAGUAAAUCAGUCCAGCUGCCACAGCUUGUUGGGUCUGUUUGUGUAAAGAUCUGAAUUCCACUAUGAGUCAGUCUGAAGAGAAAGAUGGAGGGAGAAAAGGAGUCCAGGCCCCCAGCACCACUCUGUCUGUGGAACGGGAUGGCCAGACAGAAGCUGAGAGAAUUGAGCAGGAAAGAGCAGAACCUGCUUCACCAACCUGUGUGUCCAUGAGGAGUAACCAUUCCAUGGAUUGGCCUGUUUCUUUCAGACAGGAAGAUUCAAA